RNAcentral lists this ribosomal RNA (486 nucleotides) under uncultured Methanomicrobiales archaeon. RNAcentral describes it as "bacterial SSU rRNA". It matches the Rfam family "Archaeal small subunit ribosomal RNA", at positions 852 to 1338 of the family's 1478-position model. The record is from RNAcentral. Lineage: Archaea; Methanobacteriati; Methanobacteriota; Methanomicrobia; Methanomicrobiales.
AAACUUAAAGGAAUUGACGGGGAGCACCACAACGGGUGGAGCUUGCGGUUUAAUUGGAUUCAACGCCGGAAAUCUUACCGGGACCGACAGCAAUAUGAAGGCCAGGCUGAAGACUUUGCCGGAUUAGCUGAGAGGAGGUGCAUGGCCGUCGUCAGUUCGUACUGUGAAGCAUCCUGUUAAGUCAGGCAACGAGCGAGACCCACGCCAACAGUUGCCAGCUCGUCCUCCGGGAUGGUGGGGACACUGUUGGGACCGCCUCUGCUAAAGAGGAGGAAGGAAUGGGCAACGGUAGGUCAGCAUGCCCCGAAUUAUCUGGGCUACACGCGGGCUACAAUGGGUGGGACAAUGGGUAUCGACACCGAAAGGUGAAGGCAAUCUCCUAAACCCAUCCGUAGUUCGGAUUGUGGGCUGCAACUCGCCCACAUGAAGCUGGAAUCUGUAGUAAUCGUGUCUCAAAAUGGCACGGUGAAUAUGUCCCUGCUCCUU